GAUUGAAAAGAAUUGUUUUAGAAAUCAGAUAAAGUAACCAGUGACGUAACCAGAAACUCCAAACGGAUAAUCCAACUUUUGUUAUACAGUAAAUCCUCGUCCUCUGCGCUUUUACCUUGCGCAUUACGCGGCGCCUGUUUCUCAACUGGUAGCGCUACUGUUCUUAUAACGGAAAGUAUUAUAUUCGAAUUGGAUUAAUCUUUAGAGAAUUAGAUUAAUUGUUGAACAAAUUGUUUAAACAUUUAAUAACGUUAGAUUUAAUGCGAGAUCUGGUGGACAUAACAGAACAACAAGCCGUGUAGCACUCAAUUUUAUUUAAUGUUCAAGAUGAAAUGAAUACAAUGUGUUCGAAGAUAACUUUAUGUGUAGAAUACAAAAUAAAAAAGAAACAAUAUUCUUCGAUUCUCCUUUUUUUAUUUAAAAGAUAUGGAUCUCAAAUUGUAAAACUUUUUUUCAACUAAUUGGCCCACAUAUUCUUUCAUUUCUGCUUGGAGCAAACUGCUGUUUCUAUUUGCUACAAAUAGUUUUUAAAUGCACUUCUCCGAGUUUUUAUAUUGGUAAUGGUAAAAUGGUUUGCAUCAUCAACAUUUCGUGCUAAGCUUGUUGCACUGUUAAGUUUUUUAUUUAGGGGAACGGAAGUUAACCCCAGCCAUUGCAAAAAAAAUAAACUUCACGUUGUUUUACCAUGUUUGUUUUGAUAUCUCUAGAAACGUUACUGUUACUGUUGAACUUGAUUGGUUAAUGCAUUUUGACGUGAAGAAUAAAACUAACAAGAGGCCCAUCAAACAUGGUAUCAAUGGAUUUUGGUGAAAUUCAGGUAUGUUGUAGAAGUAUCUUCCCUAAGUACGAAGUUAACCGGAAUUUCUUCAAUAAGGCAUAGUUUCCGAAACAAAAUUUUACGCGCGGUAUAUAGGUAUACCAAUAACCGUGGCCAGUUAUCAAGGAAACGAGCGUGACGUAGUUGGUAAGAUUUGUGAAUGUCACGCUAUUGGAUUAUGUUCAAUUCCCGUGGACUAACUUUUCUUGUUGCUCACCUAUAUCCAUUUUAACAAUUCAUUCAAAUGCAUUUACAUAGAACAAUCCUUUGGAAAAUGAGUGGACCAUAUUGGAUCCGCCAUUUCACUGUGCUCGACACAGUGCUGCAAUGUUUAUAAUGACUUUGCAACGAAUGGAGCAAGUAAGCACAAGAUUCUUUCGCAUAUUCUGGGAGAACACACUUUAAUCUACAUAUUUCAUAUACACAUUCCUUGCGAUUUCCGGCGAUCACAACACUCUUUAUGAUUUACGAAAACAAUGCUUUCAAAAUAAACGUUUCUAUCGAUCUGCAUUUGGCGCCAUUUUUUUUAACACUUAUUGACUGAAAAUUAAUGAAAACAAUUACAGAUACAUAUUCUAAUACUAAUCUCCAAAACUAGUAUCCAUGAAAAAGAAAUUUGAAAUCCCAGUUGUACAAAAGAUUAUUAUUACUUGAAGCACGAGCAAUAUUUUUUGAGCGGUAGGCGUAAUGCAUGCUGUCUCGAGGAAGGUAACUUUGAUCGACCGUACAAUCAAAAAUGAGUGUUGGCGAAAUUUUAUUUGUGAACUUUUAUAGAGGAAUACCUCGUUUACAAAAUUCCAAUGUCGAAAAUUCUAAAUUUCAACUCUCAUUUUUUGAUUUUUGAACCAGGGUUUUGGGGAUUUGAACCACUGUGCACCGGAGAAGAACUCAGAACAGUGCGAUUUUGAUAUUGUUGCCAACACGAAGAAUUUAAUAGAAAAGUGCAAAAGUGAUAAGAAGUUACCAUAGACGAUAAAACACGUGAAAGCUUGCGCGGCAGAAAACAGUUUCGCUUGAAUCUCGAAAUAAAACUGAGUGUGUUAUUUGUGGCGAAAUUUUUAAUGAAAAUUGGAUUUAGAGCCAUAUUUGUAAUAGAUGAGCUCACGAGGCAUGUGUGGAUAUUAAUCUUUCUCUUAUUUUGAGUAGAACUUACAGCUCACAAUCACGAUUAACGAUAAAAUACAUUUUUGUAUCAACAAAGAUAAUACAGCCAAUGUUGAGGAAGCCUACCUGUCGCAUAAAUUCUUUUGUGGUGAAAACCAGCUCAUGGUACAGCAGCCAACGCGGUAGUUCUUGAAAAAGUGAACUAUUCGGAUGAAUCGAUACCGUUUGAUUGUGCUUAGCCGUCUUGUAAUGACCAC
Long non-coding RNA from Hylaeus anthracinus, 2178 nucleotides. RefSeq lists it as uncharacterized. NCBI's taxonomy places the organism in Eukaryota, Metazoa, Arthropoda, Insecta, Hymenoptera, Colletidae. The transcript has 3 exons. The record is from RefSeq and is a predicted model, not a curated record.